GUGAGUAGCUUCGCGUGUGCAGCGCGUGGCCCGACUUCAGCUCCUGCGAGGCUGGUUUCGAGGUAAAAGAUUAUUUUAUUUAAAAGCACACGAAAGGAAUAUGGAAGAACUGUGGGAUGCUAUGACAAAACUAAACCUUCAAAUUGUAGGCAUAGAUUAGAAAGAAGCGUCCUAAGCCGACACACGUUUAUAUAGACACAAGAAGCACACAGAACACCAAAUAAGAAAACAAAUGCUUUACAGUAUAAUCAGGGUUAUACUGAUUAUAUUGAAAGUUAAAAAAGCCACAAGUAAUAUAAGCUAAGCAAAAUUAUCUGCUGUAGUUGAAGAAAAAAAAUUUCCAUGAUCCAAACAGUCUGAAGGAAUUCCUAUCCAAUAGACCAAGCCAACAAAGGAUACUGGAUACAAUACUUCAGUCUCCGACUGAAGAAAGGAAGACGCACAGCCAAUAUACUGUAGAAAGCAAGUGAAGCAUGGGGAGGAUGAGAGAAAACAACAUGAGUGUAAACAACACACACCUUCUCCAGUCACAUGACACAGGCUGGCUGAAAGAAGAAGAAACAAAAUCCAUCUUUCUGUUGUUUUUGAGGCCCCACAUUAGAGUAAAAGGAUGGAAAACAGUACUUCAGUCUAAUGGGACUAGGAGGCUAGAGGUACUGCUAUCCUAAUAUCUGGCAAAACAAACAC
Molecule: long non-coding RNA, 687 nt
Filed under: Mus pahari (shrew mouse)
Lineage: Eukaryota; Metazoa; Chordata; Mammalia; Rodentia; Muridae
Description: lncRNA (MGP_PahariEiJ_G0004570.1)
Source: RNAcentral